UGGGAAAUAAUGCAUUGUAUAUGCCUCUCUUAGAGACUUGGAAAAGAAAACUGUAAAACUUUGUAUGACUUCAUGUAACUCAGCGUUUCCCAAACACAUCUGAUCAUAGAACCCCAUGUAUCUUGUAAUAUCUAUUAGAAGUGUUCCAUGAAACAUACUUUGAGAAACACAGAAUUCUGUUCUGUGAAUACAUUUCUGGAGGACUGGGUUGUGGAAAGAAAAGAACGUCCAGUUCAAGCUUUAGAAGAGAAUAAAGAGGCAGCAUCUAUCUGCCAUCUUCAGACUGCAGCGAUUCCGCUUUCUAGCCUACUACAAAGAAAAGUGUCCCCCACAUGUCAUACUGUCAUUCUAACCUUAAAAAUGUCAUAGGUGACAGAGAAACAAAUAACUUUUACUCUUAAGACAUUCAUCCUUAGCGUAUUGAAUGGAUGCUUAAUAGGAGGGCUUCUGGGAAAUACACUUUCUUCCAGCUCAAUGAGAUAACGUACAAGUUUAUCAAUAAUGAUGGAAACCUCCUCACAUGAAGACGAAGGUGAUUUGGAAGAUUGGGAACGAUUUCUGAAACACACACUUAAAUUUUUAUAGGAACAAAUGGCACAAGAUACGAAUUUUAAAAGCAUUUUUGCCUAAAAUACAGAAUCUGAUUCUAAUCAUAAGGAAACAUCAGUCAAACCCAAAUUGAGGGACAUUCUACAAAAUCAUAGCCCUGUGUUCUUCAAACAUGUCAAUGCCACAAAAACACAGAAAGGUUGUGAAACCAUUACAGAUGAAAUCAGACAAAAGAGACACAAAAGCUAGAUGAAAUACAUAAACCUGGCCUGAAUCCAGGACCAGAAACAAAACGGAAAUAAAGAACAAUUAAUGGUGGCCUGGAUCAGCCCAUCGGGAGGGAUGAAACCCAUGAAAGCCUCCAGAGACAAGCCUUUCUCCAGCCCUGGUCUCAGCCUCUCCCUCCCCUCCUGGGAGUGAACAGGGUGAGGGAGGGCACAAUUUAUGAAAUUUAAAUAAAGUCUGUAGAUUAGAGAA
Molecule: long non-coding RNA, 1026 nt
Organism: Suricata suricatta (meerkat)
Lineage: Eukaryota; Metazoa; Chordata; Mammalia; Carnivora; Herpestidae
Exons: 2
Source: RefSeq, a predicted model, not a curated record